Molecule: long non-coding RNA, 325 nt
Filed under: Elaeis guineensis (African oil palm)
Lineage: Eukaryota; Viridiplantae; Streptophyta; Magnoliopsida; Arecales; Arecaceae
Description: long non-coding RNA (EGUI_LNC068136)
Source: RNAcentral
UAAUUGUUAGAAAUUAUUUGGAGAAAUAAUUAGUUAUGAACCUACCCACGGAUGCACUGGAGUUGGCCGAGCCACACUUGGGCCCGAAUGCAAUUCGUGUGGAUUUUAAUAUCCACUAAGAAAUUAAAGUAAUUUCUCAGAUUGGAGAUAGAGGUUACCAGUUUGUAUAAAAUAAUAGAAUUUUUAGACUAAAGUUCAAAUUUUUAGGCUUAAAAUAAUUCAUAUACUAAUAGAUCAAUUAUUCUCCUUUCAGAAAUGGCUAGAAUAUUAUCGCUCUAUUCACUGUUAGACAGUGACAAUGUUAUCGGACCUAACUUUGAUAGCU